Molecule: transfer RNA, 73 nt
Filed under: Caudoviricetes sp.
Lineage: Duplodnaviria; Heunggongvirae; Uroviricota; Caudoviricetes
Description: tRNA-Met
Rfam family: tRNA
About the family: Transfer RNA (tRNA) molecules are approximately 80 nucleotides in length. Their secondary structure includes four short double-helical elements and three loops (D, anti-codon, and T loops).
Source: RNAcentral
GGUCCUGUAAAUCAAUGGUGAGAUUAUCUGACUCAUAAUCAGGAGGUUGUCGGUUCAAGUCCGGCCAGGACCA